Molecule: non-coding RNA, 79 nt
Organism: Podarcis lilfordi (Lilford's wall lizard)
Lineage: Eukaryota; Metazoa; Chordata; Lepidosauria; Squamata; Lacertidae
Source: the annotation of a GenBank genome assembly
GCUCUCAUGACUAUAGCUCAGUUGGUAGAGCAUGAGACUCUUAAUCUCAGAGCCAUGGAUUCUAGUCCUAUGUUGAGCA